AACCGGAGCGCGGAGGUGGUCACAUGUCCCCCUUUGACUGGUGAAGGCAGCGGGUACGGGCAUCUCUGCUGCAGCCUAUCAGAGGGCGGCGCGAUGACAUCAUUAUAAUUGCGGCUCAGCGUACAGCACAGACGGUGGUAAGAGGCCUGCAUCACAGCGCUGACUGCCGCAUGGAGAGAUGGCUGAAAGAAAUCAUCAUGGCGGUCUGGUCUGAAUGGAGAAGAUGA
Molecule: long non-coding RNA, 227 nt
Organism: Bufo gargarizans (Asiatic toad)
Lineage: Eukaryota; Metazoa; Chordata; Amphibia; Anura; Bufonidae
Exons: 3
Source: RefSeq, a predicted model, not a curated record